UAACAACUCACCUGCCGAAUGAAUUAGCCCUGAAAAUGGAUGGCGCUGAAGCGGGCUGCCGACACCGUGCCGUCUGGGCGAGAAAGGCCCCAGAUGAGUAGGAGGGCGUGGCGGCCGUAUCGAAGCACGCGUGCAAACGCGUGUGGAACGGCCGCUAGUGCAGAUCUUGGUGGUAGUAGCAAGUAUUCAAGCGAGAUCCUUGAAGGGCGAAGCGGGGAAGGGUUCCACGCGAACAUUGAUUGGGCGUGGGUGAGUCGUUCCUAAGCCGAGUGGCGAUUGCUAAGUAGCGGCGAAAGGGAAGCGGGUUGAAAUUCCCGCACACGGAUGUGGACGCGGUGACGCGACUGAUGGGGCGAAGACGCUGGCGACGGCGCUGGGCARAGUUGUCUUUUCUGUUUGACCAGUUUGCGCGCGCGGUGUGGAAUCCGCUUGUCGGGAGAAACACGCGUGUGCGGGCAGAGCGCCGGGGCUUUUCCGGCGUCCAGCUCGCCGUCGACGGCCCUUGAAAAUUUGCCUGCUGAAAAUCUUUGAUUUGAAAUCCACGCCGUGGCGUACCGAUCACCGCAUCAGGUCCCCAAGGUGAACAGCCUCUGCUCAGUAUGAAUAAU
Molecule: ribosomal RNA, 608 nt
Filed under: Kappaphycus sp. 2B AARS-2009
Lineage: Eukaryota; Rhodophyta; Florideophyceae; Gigartinales; Solieriaceae
Description: eukaryotic LSU rRNA
Rfam family: Eukaryotic large subunit ribosomal RNA
Source: RNAcentral